AAUGGCCGAAAGGCUGACGCAGCGACGCCGCGUGAAGGAUGAAGUCCGUUAGGACGUAAACUUCUUUUGCAGGGGAUGAACAGUCCGUUUUACGGAUUUGACCGUACCCUGCGAAUAAGGAUCGGCUAACUACGUGCCAGCAGCCGCGGUAAUACGUAGGAUCCGAGCGUUGUCCGGAUUUACUGGGUGUAAAGGGCGUGUAGGUGGAUUGGCAAGUCGGUGGUGAAAGCCUGCGGCUCAACCGCAGAAUUGCCCUCGAUACUACCAAUCUUGAGUACGGCAGAGGGAGAUGGAAUUCAUGGUGUAGCGGUGAAAUGUGUAGAUAUCAUGAAGAACACCGGUAGCGAAGGCGGUCUCCUGGUCCGUUACUGACACUGAGGCGCGAAAGCGUGGGGAGCAAA
Molecule: ribosomal RNA, 401 nt
Filed under: uncultured bacterium
Lineage: Bacteria
Description: bacterial SSU rRNA
Rfam family: Bacterial small subunit ribosomal RNA
Source: RNAcentral